GAUGAAGAACGUAGCAAAAUGCGAUAAGUAAUGUGAAUUGCAGAAUUCAGUGAAUCAUCGAAUCUUUGAACGCACAUUGCGCCCGAUGGUAUUCCGGCGGGCAUGCCUGUUCGAGCGUCAUUUCAACCCUCAAGCCCCCGGGUUUGGUGUUGGGGAUCGGCUCUGCCCUUCUGGGCGGUGCCGCCCCCGAAAUACAUUGGCGGUCUCGCUGCAGCCUCCAUUGCGUAGUAGCUAACACCUCGCAACUGGAACGCGGCGCGGCCAUGCCGUAAAACCCCAACUUCUGAAUGUUGACCUCGGAUCAGGUAGGAAUACCCGCUGAACUUAAGCAUAUCAAUAAGCGGAGGA
This 348-nucleotide unclassified non-coding RNA is filed under the name soil metagenome. RNAcentral's name for it is "partial contains 5.8S ribosomal RNA, internal transcribed spacer 2, and large subunit ribosomal RNA". The stretch from base 1 to 120 matches the Rfam family "5.8S ribosomal RNA", at positions 35 to 154 of the family's 154-position model. The record is from RNAcentral.